RNAcentral lists this transfer RNA (93 nucleotides) under Tenericutes bacterium HGW-Tenericutes-6. Its description in RNAcentral is "tRNA-Ser". It matches the Rfam family "tRNA". Rfam says of the family: Transfer RNA (tRNA) molecules are approximately 80 nucleotides in length. Their secondary structure includes four short double-helical elements and three loops (D, anti-codon, and T loops). Lineage: Bacteria; Bacillati; Mycoplasmatota. The record is from RNAcentral.
GGAGGAUUACCCAAGUCCGGCUGAAGGGGCUCGUCUCGAAAGCGAGAAGAUCGUUAAAACGAUGCAAGGGUUCAAAUCCCUUAUCCUCCGCCA